This 480-nucleotide ribosomal RNA is filed under the name uncultured bacterium. RNAcentral describes it as "partial 16S ribosomal RNA". It matches the Rfam family "Bacterial small subunit ribosomal RNA", at positions 28 to 523 of the family's 1533-position model. The record is from RNAcentral.
GACGAACGCUGGCGGCGUGCUUAACACAUGCAAGUCGAACGAUGAAGUUCCUUCGGGAAUGGAUUAGUGGCGAACGGGUGAGAAACACGUGAGAAACCUGCCUUUCAUUUUGGGAUAACUCCGGGAAACCGGAGCUAACACCGAAUACUCCGUCUCGGCGGCAUCGCUGAGCCGGGAAAAAAUUUUGAUGAAAGAUGGUCUCGCGGCCUAUCAGCUAGUUGGUGAGGUAAUGGCUCACCAAGGCGACGACGGGUAGCCGGCCUGAGAGGGCGACCGGCCACACUGGGACUGAGACACGGCCCAGACUCCUACGGGAGGCAGCAGUGGGGAAUAUCGGGCAAUGGGCGCAAGCCUGACCCAGGGACGCCGCGUGAGGGAUGAAGGCCUUCGGGUUGUAAACCUCUUUCAGUAGGGAAGAAGCGAAAGUGACGGUACCUAAAGAAGAAGCACCGGCUAACUAUGUGCCAGCAGCCGCGGUAA